UGGGGAAUAUUGCACAAUGGGCGCAAGCCUGAUGCAGCCAUGCCGCGUGUAUGAAGAAGGCCUUCGGGUUGUAAAGUACUUUCAGCGGGGAGGAAGGGAGUAAAGUUAAUACCUUUGCUCAUUGACGUUACCCGCAGAAGAAGCACCGGCUAACUCCGUGCCAGCAGCCGCGGUAAUACGUAGGGCGCGAGCGUUGUCCGGAAUUAUUGGGCGUAAAGGGCUUGUAGGCGGCGUGUUGCGCCUGCUGUGAAAACGCGGGGCUUAACUUCGGGCGUGGAGUGGGUACGGGCAGGCUUGAGUGUGGUAGGGGUGACUGGAAUUCCAGGUGUAGCGGUGGAAUGCGCAGAUAUCUGGAGGAACACCGAUGGCGAAGGCAGGUCACUGGGCCAUUACUGACGCUGAGGAGCGAAAGCAUGGGUAGCGAACAGG
RNAcentral lists this ribosomal RNA (429 nucleotides) under Chloroflexota bacterium. RNAcentral describes it as "Chloroflexi bacterium partial 16S ribosomal RNA". It matches the Rfam family "Bacterial small subunit ribosomal RNA", at positions 355 to 776 of the family's 1533-position model. The record is from RNAcentral. Lineage: Bacteria; Bacillati; Chloroflexota.